This 253-nucleotide ribosomal RNA is filed under the name uncultured prokaryote. RNAcentral describes it as "partial 16S rRNA". It matches the Rfam family "Bacterial small subunit ribosomal RNA", at positions 525 to 775 of the family's 1533-position model. The record is from RNAcentral.
ACAGAGACUACAAGCGUUACUCGGAAUCACUGGGCGUAAAGCGUGCGUAGGCGGUCGAGAGAGUCACGCGUAAAAGGCUGGGGCUUAACCCCAGUUACAUGCGUGAGACCCCUCGACUUGAGCUAUAUAUAGAGGUAAGCGGAAUUCCUGAAGUAGCAGUGAAAUGCAUAGAUAUCAGGAGGAACACCAGAGGCGAAGGCGGCUUACUGGGUAAUAGCUGACGCUGAGGCACGAAAGCGUGGGGAGCAAAAGG